GAGCACUUGCGUCCUGGUCAGUUCCCUCCUUUCCAUUCGCCCUUCCAGGCUUGCUGUGCUAUCUUCUCUCUGGGACCUGUUACAAGGUGUCUUAUGUGCAAACCAGAAAAGAGAUGGCAAUUCUGAUCCUGGACCCAGUUUCCAUGAAAGAGAAACAAAAUGGAGCAGAUCCUGUCCCCAGCAAAGAUGGUAACCAGAUACAAUGGGACAAACAUUGUCUGCCCCUCACUGCAGAAUUCAGAGUAUGGACAGGAUUAUGAUGUGCCAGUGUCCAACAGGCAUGUGUUGGGGCUGGUGGAUCACAAUGCAACGAGAGUCCUUGACCAAUGUUGCUUCUCCACGAGGGUCUGAAGAUGGAGGGAUGACUUAAG
Molecule: long non-coding RNA, 371 nt
Filed under: Homo sapiens (human)
Lineage: Eukaryota; Metazoa; Chordata; Mammalia; Primates; Hominidae
Description: HSALNT0261757
Source: RNAcentral